This 687-nucleotide ribosomal RNA is filed under the name Triticum aestivum (bread wheat). RNAcentral describes it as "partial small subunit ribosomal RNA". The record is from RNAcentral. Lineage: Eukaryota; Viridiplantae; Streptophyta; Magnoliopsida; Poales; Poaceae.
AUGGCGGCGGCGAGCAGUAUGGGGGAUGGUUCUGGCCUGCCUCGCCUGCCCGACAACGGACUCGAGUUUCUGCCGGAUCCAGUUGACAGGGAGGUGGCCGCGGACGUGGAGCAGCCAGAUCCGUCGGUGAUGAGGGGCGUCGUGCCGUCGGACACGACCGAAGCCCACUCCUCAUGCGCGGUUGUGGUUGGACACCUCGACGGCGCUGCUGAGCGCCGGAAUUCCGGUGGAGUCGACAACCCAGUCCGUGGAAUCGACCGGGAAGGUGAACCCCAGAGGCGUCGAUGUGGACCAGAAGGUUUAGAGUUGGCCGUGCACAUCUGGAUAGAGCAGUUUUCCCUGGUAGAGUCACUCCGCUGGAAGAAACGAUCAGAGCAGAAGUGGGCAAAGCCGUUCGUGCGGCAGAUGACAGUACAUGAGGCUGAAUUUGACCGAGAAUCAGACGAGAGCUGCCAAGAGAAGAGGACAAGGAUUGUAAGCGACUUUUCUAUACAUGCUUCAUGUCGUAGUACACAUAUAUGUGGCCUGAGAUGCCUGGUAUACAAGGUGACCAUGUCAGAUGAUGGCAAGUGGUUUGAAUGUGAGUGCGGUCAAUUUGCCCACAUGAGGAUGCUGUGCUGCCAUGCAUUGAAGGUGAUGGAUUAUGUCGGCGAAGGAAAUAAUCAUGGAGGCAUCAUCGCUGGCUGA